This 6104-nucleotide long non-coding RNA is filed under the name Eucalyptus grandis. Its description in RNAcentral is "long non-coding RNA (EGRA_LNC001206)". Lineage: Eukaryota; Viridiplantae; Streptophyta; Magnoliopsida; Myrtales; Myrtaceae. The record is from RNAcentral.
AGAAGCAUAAAUGAUGUGCCACGAUAUACUUAUACAUCCCUUAAUAUGGUAAAUAGUUUCAUCAUGUCGUAAACUAAUCUUUCAUAUAUUCUUAACAUUACUCAAAAAGGAUUUCUCAAACACAAGAUCGAGAGAGACACACACACACCUGGAAGUCCAGCAGUGGCGAUUCCAAAAAAGUCUAUGUAGGUGAACUUAGCAUCGACCAGGUUGCGAUUCAGUUCAUCAACGAGAGGUUUGAGCCUGUCGUUGAAUAACAUAACCGCGCUGUUGAUCUUGUCGACGCACAGAGAUCCGUUGGUCCCAAAUCUUGAAAUUUCUGUUGGGGCGCAACCUAUCACACUUAAUCCAAAUAUUGCCACCUUCCUUGCUCCAUAGGAAUACAAUGUCUAAGGUUUGAAAAUUGGAUUAUAAAAAGAUCAGAUCCGUUGAAACUACGGAUAUUCCAAGUAAUAAUCAAAUGAAAGUGAUCAAAAAAAAAAAUAGAUGUUAAUUUAAAUUAGAACUGGAGUUAUCCGACGCGCAUUAGGAGAAAGUUGUUACCUUCAACUGUUGUUGGUAUUGCUCGAUUAGUACAUCGGCAUAUUGCUCGGGCAUGUAAAGCUUGCCGGUCUGAUAUACGUCUGGCAUGAAGUAGUUGUUGAUGUAAUCGUUGCUUCCCAUUCCUACCGUGUAUAUGCACUUGUUUAAGUAUGCCGUAGCAUUCGAUCCCAACAUGUCUCUGACACGCGAGAUUGUGACCAAAUGGUUUUGCAAUUGAUGGUUCAAGCUGAUUCGAUCGCCCUGUUGGAAGAGCAUGUAAAAGAUAUCUUUUUGAAUAUAUGUACAAAUAAUAUAGGCAGACUUAAGGGGGCUAGUGAGUGUUGUCCAACCGAGCCAUCAAAUAAUUAGAGUUUGUUUGUUUCAUGGAAAAUAUCUUCCUCAUUUGGUUCGUUAAGGAAAAUAACUCAACGGAAAAUAUUUUCCUAAUCAACUGAAAACGUUUUCAAGGUAUCAGCACUUAGAUUCAAAAUUUUACGCUUGAGCACGAAAUCCUUAACAUUGGUUCUCGAGUCUUAGCAUUCAAGACUAGGCCUCCGGUGGCCAGGUUUGGGUUCAUUAAGGCGAGACUCAAGACCUCGAUGCUCAGGCGUAGGCCGCUAGCACUUACACUUGGGUCUAUCAAGGCUAGGCCCAAAUUCCUUAUGUAUGUACUCAAUGCUCCAACACUAAAACUCACGUCCAUAAAGACCAUGCUCGGGUCCCUGACGUUGGAUCUCUAAUCCUAACUCUUAGGCUCAAGUCCACAAAGGCUGUACUAGGGUCCUCGGUGCUCAUGUUCAAGUCCUCGAUUAGAAACUUUUGCUCCUCUAAAAGUAUCUUUUCAAAAAAAAAAAAUUGAAUUUUUGUAUAUUCGGAUUUUUUUUUCUUUUUGUUUCUUCUUCGGCCCGUCACCGACCGUAACAACAACUAGCGAGCUCUAAUCUCUUUAGAAUGGGAGAGCUCACCGCCUCUGGCAACUAGACUCAAGCUCACCCAAGGCCAAUGGGGUCUCGACAACUGGCAACAAGAUUUGAGCUCGGGCAUCAUCAAAUUAGGCGAGCUCACGCCUUGCGGCCUUUGGGGAGGCUUGAGCUCGCCUGAGGCCGACAACCGGCGAAGGAAAAAGCAAAAAGAAAAGAGAAUAUGUAUAAAAAUUAAAAGUAAUUAAAAAUAAUUUUAAAAUACGAAUUUUAUGAUAAUUUUACCUAUUAGACUUUCCUUACCAAACAAAUGGAAAAUACUAUUUAGUUCAUUUUUAAGUUUUAGCCAGACACCGAAAAAUGAAGUCAUUUUCUGAAAAAAUAUCUUAUAGAAAUGAUACAUUUCCUGCGAAACAAACAAAUCCUUUGCGUAAAAUUCUACAUAUUUAUUUACCAGUUGCUGUCCUGUUUCGUCUCGAAUGCCUGCCCCACCGGAUGCAUAAUUCACACCGAUGAGUAUCUCGCUCCCUUUUGCAGAUGCAAAGGGUUGAAUGUAUCUGUCAAACCCCAGGAGUCCGGCUGUAUUCAUAAAUAAGACACAUAAUAAAAAAAACUGAAUAGCAAGCCCAUGAACGUAAUAGGCAUACGCCUGUAAACUCACGAGAGUUUUUGCCUUUUGGCUUCCUAAGCAACUUCUAGGAAAGCAUGAUACUAUGUUCAAGCCACAUUACGUUAUGCUUUUCCAAGAUUUAACAUGAACAGUUAGAAGGGUCAUUGAAAAAAGGAGAGCAGGUAAGAAAGCAGACCAAUGAUAUCGACGGAGGUGCGGCCAUUGGUGAACCUUCCGGUGGCUCUGUCGGGGAAGUCAAUCCCAUAAGGAGGAUAAUUCGCUUUGGCCUGAGUCUCGAGAUCGUUGUUGUUCCCGUUAUCAGCGAGGGAAUCCCCAUAUAUGAAGUAACACGGCACUUGAGGAGCUCCAAGAACCCAGCUUGGCGAAUUCGAUGAGAUCAAGAAGAGAACAGGAAAAAUAACUCCCCAUGCUCUAUUGUACUCGAACGACGCCAUUUUGAAAUGGGAAAUAUAUCUAUGAAGAAAGACUGAAGCUUCUCUGGUGUGUAUAAUGUAUGAACGAAUCAAAUAGAAGGUGAACAAAAGGGUAAGAAAGCUUUCAAAGCUGGAAGCGAUUGGUGGCCGGCGAUGAGAAGAACAGAAAGCAAGAAGAGGACGGUUUGCAGGGCAGAGAAAGGAAGCGAUGGUGAUUAUAACUAGCCAGACAGUUGACUUUUUCCAUUAGCUCGAGCAUGACAAAGUGGAAUGAAAAAGGCGAUUACAAAGGAAUUUGGUGACAUGACGCGAAGGGUAUGGGUAUUGCUAGAUAACAUUGUUUUGAAUGUUAUCCCGCCGUGAUCCAGUUGGCAUAUUCCAGCUAUUUUUGCCCUUGAAUGAACCCUAGAAUAUAUAUAUGUCCCAUGUGCAAGAGAUCCGCAAAAACAGUAGCACGUGUAUAUAAACAUUUAUAUCAAUGAUAAACGUGGAUCCCACUUUAUUGGAAUAUAAUACACGGAAACACAAAAUCACCAUAUAAAUAAACGAUAUAUAAUAAAGACACCAGAAAUUUACAUAGUUCGAUCUGAGUAUUAAUACCUACAUUUACAGGAAGAGAAUUAUAGUUUACAAUCGCUCACACGCUUGAGUGUUUCCCACACUUUAAUUUAAGCACAAAUCCAAAAUAUUUAUAAAUAAAUAAUUCAUUUGAACAUAAAUUCACGGUACAAAAUUAUCACACAUUUAAACUCAAAACAAAACACUCUAUGUACACCAAAAUCAAAAAAUUAUCACGUGUUCAAACUCAAAACAAAACGCUCUACGUAUGCCAAAAUCAAAAACUCCAGCGUUGGUCUUUGGUCCACAUAUGGCUUCGCGUUCUUAAUCAAGGCUUUCACGCGGCUUCAAGGACUUGCGGCUUCAGAGAUUGUGGCCGUGCGGCUUCGUAGGGAUUCGGCAGUCAAAAGAAUCCUCCCUAUAUAUAUAUAUAUAUAUGUGUGCGCCCAUGGAGAAGAAUUUGACCUGGGCCCACUUUUUUGCUCCACGUGCAGCUCUCCUCUCUCUCUCGGCGUGGAAUAUGCGUGCCCAAAGUCAAAUAUUUGACUUUGGGCGCCCACCAUGAUAACCUGCAGAGGAAUUCAGCAACUCCAGAUAAAAGAGGAAACUUUUGCUCCCUUUUUAUUUUAUUUUUAUUUCCUCUUUUAUGUAGCUAUAAAGAAUCCAAGAAAGAAAAUUGUUACUUUUUUCUUCAUCUAAUUUCCAAUCCUUGAAAGAAAAAAACUUUAUCGAUAAAUUCGGUUUAACAAAUCAUUAUCCAAAUUUAAAUUCGAGACAUUAAUUUAACACACUCUAAUUAAGGGAAGCUAAAAUUGAGCCUGCAACAUGGAAUGUCGUAGUUUACAAAUAAAGGAAAAGGAUAUGUUUUAGUAACAAGUGAAAAAGUAAAGGCAUUGUUGAGAUGCAAGUCAUGAUGAAGGGUUGUUCUAUUUUUUUCUUUUUGGAUGUCGUGAUAAUAAAAUUUAUCGAUAUUUAUAAUGGGACAAGAUAUACCUACAUCCUUUUUUGAUAUAUUUAUUUUAGCGUUAGCUAUAUUGCAUACGAUAUGCGCAAGCAAUAUGACUUUUAUUCACCUUUAAAAAAAGUCAAUUAACAUGGAUAAAUUGAGUACAAUUGCUCAAGUACACACGCAAUCAUUGAAAGGGAAAUAUUAUAUAACCCCUAUCAUUUUGCAUAUGUCAAUGUCGUGCAUUUAUCUGCCUUCCUAUAAGUUAGUUAUUCCCUAAUGGAGUAAAUCUAUGAAAUUCAUGCCAUCAUGUUGUUAGCAAGGUUCACUUCUAUGUGGAGGAAGCCCAAUGAGUUGCAAGCUCAAAAAGGUUUGAGCCCGUAUGCUAAACAAUGAGCACACUUCUUUAGCGCCGAACUUUUCAAUUCUAAAAUGAGCUUCUUCUUGGCCAAUAGUGACAAACCCUUCUCACUGAUGUGACUGAGCCUCUUAUGUCAUAACUCAGCUGCAUCUUUGCUGUCUACUACAUUAAUUUUGUCUGUGGAUAACUUUGCCUGCAUAAUGUACAACGAAUAAUAUUUUUCACAUCUAGUCACAACAAGAUAACCUUUGGUGAACUUCCAUUGACUAUUACGAAAGGUGUUGCAAUACCCCUCAUCAUCCAACUUGCCUGUAUAAAUCAAAUUCAAGAGGAUAUCAGAUAUAACUUGCAGUCGCCUUAUUUGACUGGAAUUAUCCUGGAUAUUUUAUUCAAUAGCGUAUGCAUUUAGACGUUGGCGGCCGUGUGGACAACUGCUUCGGCGCUGACCAAUAUCAUCCCAACCUCUUUAGUCAGAUCAUCGCCAGAUUGCGAAUGCCGUAAGGGGAGGCAUCGGAUGGAAGCAAAGCGUUGCAUGCCCUCGCAGCAAACCCCAAAUUCACUGUCUCCGUGGGAUGGAAUCCGUCAAAGAACACGCAUAUCUUCCUGUACGAGCAUGGAGUUUCGAAGGGAAUGCAAGUGCCCAGUUCCUUGUUCACUUUACAGCAGGUCGCGUUAGGCCAGCUGAGAAUUUAAGGAGCUCUAGUUUAGAUGCUAACGGUGGGUGAGGUGGGACGGGUUUUUGGAGUUGGGGCUUGGUGUUGCAAAGGUGAUACGGGGGAAAAGUUGGAUGGCGUGAUUCGGUUAGGAAGUGCAUAAUAGAUGAUGAUGUUCAAUGUGGGAAUGGUGAGAGAGGUGUGGAUUUAAGGUUUUGGGUAUUGGGAGUUUUACGGCAAACUAUCACCGUUGGGAUGGAGAGGGAGCUCUUCAAAGGAAGAGAGACUCAACCGAUUGCUAAUGAAACUAGUACUUAACUUAGACACCAAGCUAUGUUCCACUUACUGCAUUGAAAUAGAACAUCAUUUUGCAAUCAGCAAAUUGCUCGAUGCGUAUGCAGUGCACAGGCAUGAAAUUGUCAUUAUUGUUCAAUCAAAAUACCCUCACAGGUCAAAAAUAUUCUUUCGGCAAAAAUGGCAUCGACAUGAAUUAAAAUUUGUCAAACUGUCUUGGAGAUUUUAUUGAGCAACUAGAUCAAUAUCAAUUGAAACUUUUCGAAUUAAUAUGCACACAUGAGCAUUUAAUCUCUCUAUUUUCUUCUUCAGAUCAUUGCGAGAUGAUGAAUAUCAAAAGGGUAAGCAUCAGAAGAAAGUAAAGCUGUGUAAGCCCUUGCACCAAACACCAAAUUCACUAUCUCUGUGGGGUGAAAUCCAUCGUAGAAGGCGUGCAACAACCUAAUCGAGCAUGGAGUUUCGAAGGGAAUGCACAGGCCACUCUCCCGAACCUUACAACAGGUUGAACUUGCAACUCGGAGAACUGAAAAAGACAAAUACAAUAUCAUCAUUGAAAUUCACCAGUGAAGAACCAUAGACGUCGUGCCACAAUAUACUUAUACAUCCGUUAAUAUGGUAAUAGUUUCGUCAUGUGGUAAACUGAUCUUUGAUAUAUUCUUAACAUUACUCAAAAAGGAUUUCUCAAACACAAGAUUGAGAGAGACACACACCUGGAAGUCCAGCAAUGGCGAUUCCAAAAAAGUCUAUGUAGGUGAACUUAGCAUCGGCCAGGUUGCGAUUCAGUUCAUCAACGAGAGGUUUGAGCC